Omnitrophica WOR_2 bacterium is the source of this 74-nucleotide non-coding RNA. The record is from Rfam. NCBI's taxonomy places the organism in Bacteria, Pseudomonadati, Candidatus Omnitrophota.
GCGCCCGUAGCUCAGAUGGAUAGAGCGCGGCUCUCCUAAGGCCGGCGUGGGAGGUUCGAAUCCUCCCGGGCGCA